Molecule: long non-coding RNA, 547 nt
Filed under: Volvox carteri
Lineage: Eukaryota; Viridiplantae; Chlorophyta; Chlorophyceae; Chlamydomonadales; Volvocaceae
Description: long non-coding RNA (VCAR_LNC002291)
Source: RNAcentral
UGGUACGAAUAUACGGCAUCUCAGUUUCGGUGCUAGGAGCCCAUGGAACCGAAGGGAACUUGAGGGGCUCCAGUUGGGUCGUUCCAGCCGGGCGCCGGGCGCGUGGGUCCCACAGGAGUGUGUCGGCGGCGGGGUUUUCGGGAAGCAGGGGACUACAGCAAUGAGCCAGCGCAGCGCAUGACGAUGUCUAGAGCGUUGCAUAACGGUGUACAAGUCCAGCCGCAUUUGGUACGCCCUCCUUUUAUCCCCAGAAUCGGCCCCAGACUCGUUCAGGCACCCGUGCGCACACCCGUCCUCAGGUUCGCUACAUGGAGGGGCGCCGCUGCUUUGGCCUGCCCUGGAUGCCGCCCGUAAAGGCCAAACCCAAGGUCCACGGGUCUGCAUGCGACCCGCGGAUUAUCCAUGGCAGCGACAUCCCCACCAUGCCGCCCUCCUCCUUCGUGCCCUGCUAUUUGUUCGUGGUGCGGCCCAACCUGGUUCAGCAUGUGGGCGCCUCCAGUGCGCUGUUUGGGGAGUUGUCGACGCGCUUCCACAUGUCCACCACAUU